UACAGAGGUCCCAAGCGUUGUUCGGAUUCAUUGGGCGUAAAGGGUGCGUAGGCGGCGAGGUAAGUUGGAUGUGAAAUCCCGGGGCUCAACCCCGGAACUGCAUUCAAUACUGCUUUGCUAGAGUAUUGGAGAGGAGAUUGGAAUUCACGGUGUAGCAGUGAAAUGCGUAGAUAUCGUGAGGAAGACCAGUGGCGAAGGCGAAUCUCUGGACAAUAACUGACGCUGAGGCACGAAGGCUAGGGGAGCAAAC
Molecule: ribosomal RNA, 250 nt
Filed under: uncultured bacterium
Lineage: Bacteria
Description: partial 16S ribosomal RNA
Rfam family: Bacterial small subunit ribosomal RNA
Source: RNAcentral